RNAcentral lists this microRNA precursor (86 nucleotides) under Heligmosomoides polygyrus. Its description in RNAcentral is "microRNA hpo-mir-10140 precursor". Lineage: Eukaryota; Metazoa; Nematoda; Chromadorea; Rhabditida; Heligmosomidae. The record is from miRBase by way of RNAcentral.
UUCUUCCAAUGCAGAGCUCUGCUGGUGAGCGAAGUCCAUUCGGCGUUUGUGUCGGAGUUGAUCGGUAGGUAAGCAAGAAUGUUUGA